Molecule: ribosomal RNA, 253 nt
Filed under: uncultured bacterium
Lineage: Bacteria
Description: partial 16S ribosomal RNA
Rfam family: Bacterial small subunit ribosomal RNA
Source: RNAcentral
UACGAAGGGUGCAAGCGUUAAUCGGAAUUACUGGGCGUAAAGGGCGCGUAGGCGGCCUGCUAAGUCGGACGUGAAAUCCCUCGGCUCAACCGAGGAACUGCGUCCGAUACUGGUGGGCUUGAAUCCGGGAGAGGGAUGUGGAAUUCCAGGUGUAGCGGUGAAAUGCGUAGAUAUCUGGAGGAACACCGGUGGCGAAGGCGGCAUCCUGGACCGGUAUUGACGCUGAGGCGCGAAAGCUAGGGGAGCAAACGGG